AUUGAACGCUGGCGGCAGGCCUAACACAUGCAAGUCGAACGGUAACAGGAAGAAGCUUGCUUCUUUGCUGACGCGUGGCGGACGGGUGAGUAAUGUCUGUGAAACUGUCUGAUGGAGGGGGAUAACUCCUGGAAACGGUAGCUAAUACCGCAUAACGUCGCAAGACCAAAGAGGGGGACCUUUUGGCCUCUUGCCAUCGUAUGUGCCCAGAUGGGAUUAGCUAGUAGGUGGGGUAACGGCUCACCUAGGCGACGAUCCCUAGCUGGUCUGAGAGGAUGACCAGCCACACUGGAACUGAGACACGGUCCAGACUCCUACGGGAGGCAGCAGUGGGGAAUAUUGGACAAUGGGCGCAAGCCUGAUGCAGCCAUGCCGCGUGUAUGAAGAAGGCCUUCGGGUUGUAAAGUACUUUCAGCGGGGAGGAAGGGAGUAAAGUUAAUACCUUUGCUCAUUGACGUUACCCGAAGAAGAAGCACCGGCUAACUCCGUG
Molecule: ribosomal RNA, 490 nt
Filed under: uncultured bacterium
Lineage: Bacteria
Description: partial 16S ribosomal RNA
Rfam family: Bacterial small subunit ribosomal RNA
Source: RNAcentral